AGCAACGCGAAGAACCUUACCAGGUCUUGACAUCCUCUGAAAACCCUAGAGAUAGGGCUUCUCCUUCGGGAGCAGAGUGACAGGUGGUGCAUGGUUGUCGUCAGCUCGUGUCGUGAGAUGUUGGGUUAAGUCCCGCAACGAGCGCAACCCUUGAUCUUAGUUGCCAUCAUUAAGUUGGGCACUCUAAGGUGACUGCCGGUGACAAACCGGAGGAAGGUGGGGAUGACGUCAAAUCAUCAUGCCCCUUAUGACCUGGGCUACACACGUGCUACAAUGGACGGUACAAAGAGCUGCAAGACCGCGAGGUGGAGCUAAUCUCAUAAAACCGUUCUCAGUUCGGAUUGUAGGCUGCAACUCGCCUACAUGAAGCUGGAAUCGCUAGUAUCGCG
RNAcentral lists this ribosomal RNA (389 nucleotides) under Bacillus cereus. RNAcentral describes it as "bacterial SSU rRNA". It matches the Rfam family "Bacterial small subunit ribosomal RNA", at positions 955 to 1346 of the family's 1533-position model. Lineage: Bacteria; Bacillati; Bacillota; Bacilli; Caryophanales; Bacillaceae. The record is from RNAcentral.